UACAGAGACUGCAAGCGUUAUUCGGAUUCACUGGGCGUAAAGGGUGCGCAGGCGGCCGUGUGUGUGAGGUGUGAAAGCCCGGGGCUUAACCCCGGAAUUGCACCUCAAACUACAUGGCUAGAGCAUUGGAGAGGGUAGCAGAAUUCAUGGUGUAGCAGUGAAAUGCGUAGAUAUCAUGAGGAAUACCAGAGGCGAAGGCGGCUACCUGGACAAUUGCUGACGCUCAGGCACGAAAGCGUGGGGAGCAAAAGGG
This 253-nucleotide ribosomal RNA is filed under the name uncultured bacterium. Its description in RNAcentral is "partial 16S ribosomal RNA". It matches the Rfam family "Bacterial small subunit ribosomal RNA", at positions 524 to 776 of the family's 1533-position model. The record is from RNAcentral.